AAUGAGAGACAGCCCCUUUACUCCACAGCCUGCCGAAAUUAUUCAAACCAGCCAAUCUUUAAACCUCCCUACAGCUGCUCUGCCUGUUCUUUCCUGUAGAAACCACAGUAAAGUCUCUUGCCUCCAGUUCUCUCCCUUCCUUCUGCCUCGUGGCUGAUCUCAGGGCUUCCCUGUGUGGCCCCUCCUGCAGUGGCUUGUCUCCUCCUCUUGGGAACUACUGUGAGCCCCUCAUUUCUAGAAUGCUGUCUUAUUCAUCCUUGAAUGCAUGCCGUGUAUCAGGCACUGUGUGAGCACUGGAGACAGAAUGGGGAAGGAGCCUGAAGCCAAGGAAUUUAACCCUGGGGAGGCAUGGCACUUUCCACGUGGUUCCUGGAACACAGUGCGUCCUUCUUUCUCAGGUUACCAUGUGUGUAUCUUCCAGUUGCUUCCAGCUCCUCCAUAGUGCUCCACGUAGUGUUGCCAUCACAUACCUCUCAUCCACCCAAGGUGUGGACACCCAAAUUGCCCUCAAUGUCUUGCUACCACAAAUUAUGCUAAGCUGGAAUCAAGGACUGCAUAGUGCUGAAAUGAAGUGCUGGAGCCAUCCAUUGUGUGCUUGCAAGAUGGCUCCUUGGCUAUGAGAGCAUAGUGAUGCUACGAGGCUGAUGGACUCAGUUCUCCUGACAUAACAUGGCUGGAGAAGCCCCAACUCUGGAAUUUUAUCAUGUUCUUUCAUGCUUGUGGUUCUGCCAGCAUAUGAGUAACUGAACUUGGGCUGGUUGACCUGGCAAGAAAUCCAAACUGAAAUAAGAAUCAGCUCCUUUCCUCGCCUCCCCCCAGCUUUAUUGAGAUAUAAUUAACAUGUAACAUUGUGUUAGUCUAAGUUGUACAACAAAGAAAGUUAGUUGUACCUAAAGAAAGAGAAAACACAAGUUAACAACUUCAACAAGGAAGUAAAGGCCAUCACUACUGAUCCCAAGGAUAUUAAAAGAAUAAUAAAGGAACACAAGGAACAACUCUAUGCCCAUACAUUGAUAACUUAGUUAAUAUUAUCAACUUCAUAAAAGGAAAACUACCAAAAUACCUCAAGGAGAAAUACAUGACCUAAUAGUUCUAUAUAUGUUAAAGGAAAUUAAUGAAUAACUUAAAACUUUCUAAAAGAGAAAGCACUAGACUUCAAUGAUUUCACUGGUGAAUUCUACCAAACUUUUAAGAAAAAAAUUAUGCUGGUUCUCUUCCCAAUCUCUUCUAGCAAAAAUAGAAGCUAAAAGAAUACUUUUCAACUUAUUUUAUGAGGCCAAAUUAAGACCAGAUUUAGCAAAGUUAAAGAUAUCACAAGAAAACUACAGAUCAAUAUUUUUCAUUAACCUGGACACAAAAAUCCUCAACAAAAUACCAGCAAAUUGAAUUUAGAAAUACAUAGAAAUGGUAAUACAUAUAACCAAGAGGGCUUUACCCUAGGAUAAACUAAUUAUGUAAAUUCAUAAAUUAAUCAAUGUGAUUCAUGAUAUUGAUGGACUAAGAAAUAAAUGAAUAAACAUAAAUAAUCAAAUAAAUAGAUAUAGUAAAACACUCUACAAAAUUCAAACCCAUUGAUGAUGAAAGCUCCCCAAAUCUAGGAAUAAAAGGGAAAACUCUCAACCCACUAAAGUGGCUAUACUAAGAUCCUGCAGCUGGUAUCCUACUUGUUUGUGAGAGACUGAACCUUUCCCCUAAGAUAGGAAAGCAUGAUGUCACCCAUCACCAAUGCUAUUCAAUACCCUACCGGAAGUCCUAGCUAGUGAAGUAAGUCAAGAACAAUAAAUAAAAGUAUAAAGAUUGGGAAAGGAAGAAAUAAACCCUUUUAUUAGCAAAUGAUAUGAUUAUUGAUUUAGAAAACCCUCAAAAAUCUACGAGAAUACUUUCUGUAAUUAAUGGACUCUAACACUAUCAAAUGACAAAAGGUUAAUAUACAAAUACAAUAUAUAAAAUAAAAUAUACAGAAAAAGCUCAACAUCAUUUUUACUCCAGCUGCUAAAAUCCAAAAAUUGACAUUAUUAAUUUUUAGCAAGGAAAUAGAGCAAAAGGAACUCUCAUUCACUGUUGGUGGGGAUGUCAAAGGGUCCUCAGUCACCAGGGAAGACAGUUUGGGGAUUUCUUACCUACCUAAAGAUAGUCUUACCAUAAGAUCCAGGAAUUACGUUCCUAGGUUUUUACUCAACUAAUUUGAAAAUGUAUGUCCACACAAGAGACCUAUACAUGAAUAAGGGGUUU
Molecule: long non-coding RNA, 2232 nt
Filed under: Equus caballus (horse)
Lineage: Eukaryota; Metazoa; Chordata; Mammalia; Perissodactyla; Equidae
Description: lncRNA (ENSECAG00000058779.1)
Source: RNAcentral